This 717-nucleotide ribosomal RNA is filed under the name uncultured bacterium. RNAcentral describes it as "bacterial SSU rRNA". It matches the Rfam family "Bacterial small subunit ribosomal RNA", at positions 56 to 769 of the family's 1533-position model. The record is from RNAcentral.
UGCAGUCGAGCGGUAGAGAGAAGCUUGCUUCUCUUGAGAGCGGCGGACGGGUGAGUAAUGCCUAGGAAUCUGCCUGGUAGUGGGGGAUAACGUUCGGAAACGGACGCUAAUACCGCAUACGUCCUACGGGAGAAAGCAGGGGACCUUCGGGCCUUGCGCUAUCAGAUGAGCCUAGGUCGGAUUAGCUAGUUGGUGGGGUAAUGGCUCACCAAGGCGACGAUCCGUAACUGGUCUGAGAGGAUGAUCAGUCACACUGGAACUGAGACACGGUCCAGACUCCUACGGGAGGCAGCAGUGGGGAAUAUUGGACAAUGGGCGAAAGCCUGAUCCAGCCAUGCCGCGUGUGUGAAGAAGGUCUUCGGAUUGUAAAGCACUUUAAGUUGGGAGGAAGGGUUGUAGAUUAAUACUCUGCAAUUUUGACGUUACCGACAGAAUAAGCACCGGCUAACUCUGUGCCAGCAGCCGCGGUAAUACAGAGGGUGCAAGCGUUAAUCGGAAUUACUGGGCGUAAAGCGCGCGUAGGUGGUUUGUUAAGUUGGAUGUGAAAUCCCCGGGCUCAACCUGGGAACUGCAUUCAAAACUGACUGACUAGAGUAUGGUAGAGGGUGGUGGAAUUUCCUGUGUAGCGGUGAAAUGCGUAGAUAUAGGAAGGAACACCAGUGGCGAAAGCGACCACCUGGACUAAUACUGACACUGAGGUGCGAAAGCGUGGGGAGC